AUGACGGUGAUCGACAUCCUCACGCGGGUGGACGUCAUCUGCCAGAAGUACGACAAGUACGACGCCGAGAAGCUCAACGGCGCCAACGUCGCCGGCGAGGACCCCUUCGCCCGCCUCUAUGGCUCCGUCGACGCCGAGAUCUCCUAUCUGCUGCUGCAGAAAGCGGAGGCGGCGAGGCAGGAGAAGAACCGGGCCACGGUCGUUGCGCUCAACACCGAGAUCCGCCGCACCAAGGCAAGCUCCUCGAGGAGGACCUGCCCAAGCUGCAGCGCCUCGCGCUCAAGAAGUACUGAGCGUAUAACUAAAAUUAAGCUUGUUGUUUUAUAUAAAUGUUCAUCUAGUUGCUGUGAGUGUAUCCUCAUCUUAAGGUUAACAUUGUUCUAUGGAAACUUUGAUGAUGAAUACUUUAAGGGGACUGAAGAAUCAAAUAAAUUUUGUCAGGAAUAUGAGAUGCGUAGAAUGAAGCAGGAUGAAGGUUUGGAUGUUAUUGGUGAAGGGCUGGCAACUCUGAAGAACAUGUCAUCGGAUAUGAAUGAGGAAUUGGAUAGGCAAGUUCCCUUGAUGGAUGAAAUGGAUGACAAGGUGGAUAGAGCCAAUGCAGAUCUGAAGAAUACCAACGUGAGGCUAAAGCAGACCAUUCUUCAGGUAAAAGUUCACUCUUCUCCCUGUAUCAUACUUAUAUCACCGCCUACCUUUACAAGUAAGUAA
This 708-nucleotide ribosomal RNA is filed under the name Triticum aestivum (bread wheat). Its description in RNAcentral is "partial small subunit ribosomal RNA". The record is from RNAcentral. Lineage: Eukaryota; Viridiplantae; Streptophyta; Magnoliopsida; Poales; Poaceae.